AAUCAGCUCCUUUAGCCUUAUAGGCUAGAUUCCAAAAGUUCUAGCUUUGCCGUCAUUCCUUUGUAUUUUUUAUGACGCCGGGUUAAGACGGAAAGACUAAAACACCUUUUUCCCUAGGGAAUUAGGUUCCAACAAGUCUGCAAAACUCUAACCUUAUUGGGUUUCCAUGAGUUUUUGCCUGAGUGUUGCGAGUAAAGCUCAUAAGAAGUUUGUCUUUUACGCUGGGCGUAAAAUGUCCUCUGAAGAUGAGCUUUUCUAGGAAAUCCUAAGCAACUAGAUCAGGUUUUCUACGAACUGGAAAAAGAUUCCUCUUUUUUAUCUUCUGUCCCAAUUGGGCAGAAGUGAAAGUGGACUUGUUUUUCUGCACCUGUUCCGAAAGGGAAAAGGUGAACUAGGCGUAGCCAGGAUGGAGACCAGGCUAGGUGAGCAAUAAAUCCUUUCCUAGGCUUAAAACCAGCUAGUCCUCGUCAUAGUCCUGGAUUUCCUCUUGAAAGCUCGUCCUCUUUUUAGUAGAACCCACCACUUUCCUCAUUGGUGAGGAAAAGGUUGGGUGGAGUAAUGAGCUUCCAAGAUUUCAUCAAGCUUCUGUUUUGUUCGAGGUUAGCUGAGUUGUCCCAAGAGGCUAUCCUGGGAAUUCGCCCUUUCCAGUGAACUUGGCAAGAACUGGCACACCUGUUUUCUAAAAACUUGGGUGCUAGAAAGUCUUAGUGCCUAGUACUGCCAAGGGUUCUACUGGCAGCAGUAUCUUGACUGUGCCAAAGUACCGUAGUUUCUUGUUGCUUUAUUGGCAACCAGGGAAGUAUUCAUGAUGCCAUUCCUUUACUGGA
RNAcentral lists this ribosomal RNA (827 nucleotides) under Kudoa igami. RNAcentral describes it as "partial large subunit ribosomal RNA". The record is from RNAcentral. Lineage: Eukaryota; Metazoa; Cnidaria; Myxozoa; Multivalvulida; Kudoidae.